CUGUUGUCACUGGCCAGAGAGGGAGAGAGAGAGGGAGAGAGGGAGAGAGAAAGAGGGAGGGAGGGAGGGAGAGCAGAGUUGUGUCCCAUAUGUGGAAAAAAAGCAUAGCAGUGCACACACGGGUCUGGUCUGCUCCAGGGAUUAUCGUACCGCUUUCUGAUCUGAUGGAGGACAUGCAGGCAUGAAUAGGGCUGUUCUGUUGUCAGUGCAAGCUCAUGCCAGUGAUGGACUACAGCCGGACGGGCGCUAACCUUAGCUGGCAUUCACAAAACAGCAUUCCUCUUUACUGAGACCAGCUCCACAGAAUGCUGAGUCCUAUUGUCCCCUAUAACUGGCAACAGAAGCAGUGCGAGCACACCCCCGAGGCUUCAGGCCCAGCACCAGAGCGCAGAGGUCCUUCAUCCCUGUCACUGUCUGUAAACAACUGCUCGUCCCAGCGGCCUGCCCUGCGCUAUUUCUGGCCCUUUCCUGACGUCUUUCAAAGCCUCAAAAGUAGCCGAGAGAAGACGUAAAUCUGAGCAACUCCACGCGAAGAAGUGAAAGUUCUUGGUCAGAAGCUUGAAACGGGAUCCAUUCCUCCUCAGUUAUGGAUAGCGGUGUCAAAGCUUAGUAUGAAACAUCUGUGACUGAAUCCCCCCCAGAACGCCGGUGCUGGUGCCGCUAAUGACAAGAGUAAUUAAUUGUCUAAUAAUGAU
Amphiprion ocellaris (clown anemonefish) is the source of this 695-nucleotide long non-coding RNA. The record is from Ensembl. NCBI's taxonomy places the organism in Eukaryota, Metazoa, Chordata, Actinopteri, Pomacentridae.